UGGUUGGCUAAAAUACCCAUAAACCACUUACUCGUUGACUCUUUCCAGUUUUAUUUACAAUCCUCAAUUCCCAUUGGUUGAUGACCCCAAACCCAAUCCCAAUUCGUCUCGUAGCUUCCCUUCCGUUUCUCUCAUCUUCUGUGUCUCUGCUCUCAUUGACACUUGUCCCUUUACAAUCCAGUUUGAGAAAUUUAUACUUAUAUGCAUUUGCGUAAAAUUCAAAGCUUUUUAUUAUUUCUUUGCAAUAAAAUUGGGGGGUUAGGAAGUGACUCAUUGAUGAUGUGCAAUCAUACACAGCUUUAUUUGAUUAGGAAUGGGCUUCUAUAAUUAUAAUCCCAUCAACGGAAGAUAGCCGAAAUGUUAUGGGUAACGAUGCUGACAUUAUCAUAGCAUCGAAAACCGAAAUUUUGGGAAUUUCGUGUCUAUCUUACUCUAUCUCGGUUGCUUUAUAAUUUUUUUUAUUAUAAAUAAAUAGAUGGCAACGGCUUCAUUAAUACAUGCUCCAUGUGGGUAUUCACGGAAAUUUAGUUAUAACUUGAGAAAUGGAGUUUAUGGAGGAGCUGCAGGUUCCACCUCAUAUUCACCGUCCUCUUCUUCCUGUUCUUGUUGUUCUUCUCAAGGACUAAACUUCUCUUCCGGUGUAAAGAGUAAUUGCAAAGGUCAAGGCCUCAGAGCUCAAGCUAUGAACACUACAAUCCAAGGAAAUUUUGCAUCACCAAAGGCGAUCGUGAAUAGUAAUACUGAGCCUGAUCAUCUUCUUGUCCUUGUUCAUGGCAUCUUGGCUAGCCCGAGUGACUGGACAUAUGUAGAAGCAGAGUUGAAAAGGCGGCUCGGGAGAAACUUUCUAAUUUAUGCAAGUGCGUCUAAUACCUACACUAAAACCUUUUCUGGGGUUGAUGGAGCUGGAAAGCGACUGGCAGAUGAAGUUAUGCAAGUUGUAAAGAAGAAAGAUAGUUUGAAAAGGAUUUCCUUUUUAGCCCAUUCUCUCGGUGGAUUGUUUGCAAGAUAUGCUAUUGCUGUGCUUUAUUCAGAGGCUGCCUUAAGUACUGGCCAAUCUAGUGAUACUACUGAUUCUACACUGCCUAGUUCACAAGCAGUGCGAGCUGCAAGACGAGGUACAAUUGCUGGGUUGGACCCAAUCAACUUUAUUACCCUGGCAACUCCACAUCUUGGAGUGAGAGGAAGAAAGCAGCUUCCAUUUCUCCUGGGAAUUCCCAUUUUAGAGAAACUUGCUCCACCAAUUGCUCCGAUUUUUACUGGUCGAACUGGUAGUCAACUUUUCCUGACUGAUGGUAAACCUAACAAACCACCUCUUCUGUUAAGAAUGGCAUCAGACUGUGAAGAUGGAAAAUUUAUAUCUGCCCUUGGUGCAUUUGGAUGUCGCAUCCUGUAUGCAAAUGUAUCUUAUGAUCAUAUGGUUGGUUGGCGUACAUCCUCCAUAAGAAGAGAGAAGGAACUUGUCAAGCCACCUCGGCGUUCUUUAGACGGUUACAAGCAUGUUGUAGAUGUUGAGUAUUGUCCACCACUCUCUUCCGAAGGCCCUCAAUUUCCUCCAGAAGCUGUCAAAGCUAAGGAGGCAGCGCAAAAAGAACCCAAUACGCGAAACACAGUGGAGUAUCAUGAAAUCAUGGAAGUUUGUUAACAGAGGAAAUGAUACAUGGAUUACAGCAGCUGGGAUGGAAAAAGGUCGACGUUAGCUUCCAUUCAGCAUUUUGGCCCUUCUUUGCCCAUAAUAACAUACAUGUGAAAAAUGAAUGGCUUCACAAUGCUGGUGCUGGAGUAAUUGCUCAUGUUGCAGACAGCCUGAAGCAGCAGGAAACCUCUUCACUAAUUAUUGCUAGCUUGUAGCUAUUGAGCAGUAAUGCUAGUACUAUUAUAGUUGGAAAAAUGAUAAAAUUAUUUGCAAAAUGUAGAUUUAUAAGAAGGGAAAUUUUUAUUCCUGUUCGCCAUGCCCAUGUUGAUUUUUCUUUUUUUUGUUUUUAAAACAUUGUGCAUGCUCAGAAAGCAAUAUCCAGGUAUUGAUGAUUGAUCUA
Jatropha curcas is the source of this 2033-nucleotide non-coding RNA. Lineage: Eukaryota; Viridiplantae; Streptophyta; Magnoliopsida; Malpighiales; Euphorbiaceae. The record is from RefSeq and is a predicted model, not a curated record.